GCUUGAACCUGAUAAGCCUGGCAGAAGCCUGAUGAACCCAGAAUGAGUGAGAUGUGAGACAGAGUCUUGUUCUGUCGUGCAUGCUGGCGUACAGUGCCACAAUCACAGCUCACCGCAGCUUCCAACUUCUGGACUCACAUGAUCCUUCUGCCUCAGACUUCCAAGUACUUGGGACUACAGUCACGAAUCACCACAGCCAGCUUGGAGUGACUUUCUAAGGGUAAAUAACGAGUCAAUUGAGACUGUAAUUAUAUGACUUGGGGCAAAAUUAACUGUGGUCAGCUGACUUGUUACCGUAUUUAAUUUUAAUUUUGGAGCUUGUAUUCAAAAGCUAUUAUAUGAAUAUAAGAAUAAAUGAUUUUUUUAACAAAAAAGAGUAUUU
This is a long non-coding RNA of Homo sapiens (human), 382 nucleotides long. Ensembl annotates it as DMXL1 divergent transcript. Its record names the gene DMXL1-DT. Lineage: Eukaryota; Metazoa; Chordata; Mammalia; Primates; Hominidae. The record is from Ensembl.